This 693-nucleotide ribosomal RNA is filed under the name Triticum aestivum (bread wheat). RNAcentral describes it as "partial small subunit ribosomal RNA". Lineage: Eukaryota; Viridiplantae; Streptophyta; Magnoliopsida; Poales; Poaceae. The record is from RNAcentral.
AUGUGUGGUUUUCAAAGCAAAGGGCAGGGGUUCUUCUAUAUUCCUGAUUUCAGCGUGGAUAGACAGCCUGGGGAGAGGAUUUUCAAUGUUGUUGUUACUAUCACCGAGGGGGAUGCGCUAACCAAAGACAUAGAGCACGAGCUUAGUGUUUAUGUGGGUCAGGGAUGGCGUUGUUCUGCUAAGUUCUUUGCUCCGAACAUGUUUGUGAUGAGGAUGCCUAACCCCAGAGAAGUUGAUCGUGCUCUUUUCGUUGAACAUGUUAAACUGAAAAGGUGUGGUGUGGCUGUUAAAUUUUCCCCCUGGUCUAAGGAUAUAGACUCUGAAGGGCUCCUAGAAGUUGCUUGGGUGAGGAUUGGGAGAAUCCCUCCUAAUAAACGCUGUGAUAAAACUGUAGCUUAUGUGGGGGGGCUUGUGGGUAUAACCCUGGAAGUUGAUAUGUCUACUUUGAAUCACCCGUCUUCUGUGAGAGCUAAAAUAGGAUGUCGAUCUGUGAAACAACUACCCAACACAGCUGAAGGGGUGCUGGGAGGGCGUUUCUAUAAAUUUACUUUUGAGGUGGAAGAAAUCCUGGUGGUUAAUGCUGUUGACGAAGAGGUUGUGCGUGUUGAUGCCAAAGACAACCCCUUUAAGCCUGAUCAGACUCCUAAGCACAAGCGCGCUAAUCAGGGGUGGAUGAAGAACAUUAUAAUUUGA